Molecule: long non-coding RNA, 1503 nt
Filed under: Sus scrofa (pig)
Lineage: Eukaryota; Metazoa; Chordata; Mammalia; Artiodactyla; Suidae
Description: lncRNA (ENSSSCG00030013887.1)
Source: RNAcentral
GCCUUUCCCAGCGCCCAUCUGAACCUCCUCAGCCACGGGAAUCGAAGUGGUGUGUAUCUAAGCUGUAAGUUAGAGUUAUUUCUCAGACCCCAAUUCAAUCAAAUCUCCUGAGACCUUUCGCGUGGCUCUUUCUGGGACAUGACGAGCUUUCAGUGCUGGCCUCCCCCCUUUUAAUUUUUUUUUCAUUGUCAUCAACCUUUUUUGGUUUUGAUUGGAGUAUAAUUGAUGUGCCCUGUUCUACUGUCGGAAACCUUUGAUUUUUAAAAACGAGAACAAAUAAAAGCCACCCUAAAAUGAUUUUUUUUUUUUUUUUUGGAAGGCAGCUCCAUCUCUACCCUGCUUCCUGCACCUGGUGGGGGACGAGUGCUUCUCCGCCCUUCAGGAAACAGCCCACUUGUCAGCAGCUGGGCUCCCGGGAACAAAGGCCUAGGUUCAUUACCACGGAAUCGACCCUGACACGUUGCACGAGGGCCACCUCCCCCAGAGUUCCUCAAUUCACACCCCAAAUGAAGCGUAAUUGGACCUGGACAUCUUUGAAGUCCCUGAGCAGCUUGCCAGCAUUUUGAAAUGUCCUUGAUUUGCAUGGUGAAAACCCGGCUGGAGGUGACUUUUUCUUUCCCCUCGUCCCACGGUUUUAAAGACAGUGUGAUUUUUAAAUGACAUUCCGCAGCCAGGAAGAGUUACCAUGGAAGAAAUAAAAACGCUUCACGCCAGAAAAGAAAAGGCAACUGAAGUCCGGGGAUCUCACGAAUCUCUCAUUUGCCUCUUGGCUCGGGUUUUGUUCUGUGCGGGCCAAUGUUCCAGGCUGCGGUUUCCUCUCAGGCUUCUCCCCAGGUCCCUGACCUGGGAGCAUGAAAAGGAGCCAGGACCUGGAGCUUCCGAAGGCCAGCAGGUCGCCGUCAGACCUGAAGCCAGAAAACCAGCCCUGCCACCGGCUGGUGAGUUGGGCAUCGCAGUCCAACACCACUCUCUCUGAGAAGGGAAAGGUCCUCUAUCCGUGCUGAAAUGUGACUUAGCGCAACUGAGGAAAUGAAUUUUCAACUUGAUGUAAGGUGGGGUUUUUUUGGAUUUUUUUUUCUUUUUUCUUUUUACGGCUGCACCUGCGGCACAUGGAAGUUCCCAGGCCAGGGGUGGAAUUGGGGCUGCAGCUGCCGGCCUACGCCACAGCCACAGCAACGCCAGAUCCGAGCCACAUCUUCGACCUAUGCCGCAGCUUGCAGCAGUGCCCCAGGAUCCUUAACCCAUUGAGCGAGGUCAGGGAUCGAACCUGAAUCCUCACAGAGACAGUGUCGGGUCCUUAACCUGCUGAGCCACAGUGGGAACUCCUUUUUUAGAUUUUAAAAAUUGAAGUAUAGUUGAUUUACAGUUGAUUUGAUCGUUUCAGGCAUACAGCAAAGCGAUUCGCGCAAUUUUAUUUAUUAUAAAUAGCCGCUUGUGGUUAGUGGCCACUAAAUUGGACAGUCCAGGGACACCUGACCAAAUAAAACCCCAAUGGAUGCCUCA